Molecule: long non-coding RNA, 337 nt
Filed under: Malus domestica (apple)
Lineage: Eukaryota; Viridiplantae; Streptophyta; Magnoliopsida; Rosales; Rosaceae
Description: long non-coding RNA (MDOM_LNC003718)
Source: RNAcentral
UUGUAAUGAGUGGAUGUAAUGGGUGUAGUGGAUGAGUGUUUGGUAAUGAGUGGAUGUAAUGAGUGUAGUGGGUGGAUGUAAUGGGUGUAGUGGAUGAGUGUUUGGUAAUGAGUGGAUGUAAUGGGUGUAGUGGAUGGAUGUUUGGAGAAUGGAUGUGUUGGGUGAAAUGAGUGGAUGUAGUGGUAGGUGAAUGUGUUGGGUGAAAUGAGUGGAUGUAGUGGUAGGUGAAUGUGUGUGUUGGGUGAAAUGAGUGUGCUAAAAUGGUUAUUUAUAGGGAGAGGAUGAUGCACAAACUUCAAAUUUCAUCAAUUCCUUUUGCUCCAAGCAUAUGCCAUCC